RNAcentral lists this transfer RNA (77 nucleotides) under Elusimicrobiota bacterium. RNAcentral describes it as "Elusimicrobia bacterium tRNA-His". It matches the Rfam family "tRNA". From Rfam's summary of the family: Transfer RNA (tRNA) molecules are approximately 80 nucleotides in length. Their secondary structure includes four short double-helical elements and three loops (D, anti-codon, and T loops). Lineage: Bacteria; Pseudomonadati; Elusimicrobiota. The record is from RNAcentral.
GUGGGUGUAGCUCAGCUGGUUAGAGCGUCUGGCUGUGAACCAGAAGGUCGGGGGUUCAAGUCCCCUCACUCACCCCA